This 326-nucleotide ribosomal RNA is filed under the name uncultured bacterium. RNAcentral describes it as "bacterial SSU rRNA". It matches the Rfam family "Bacterial small subunit ribosomal RNA", at positions 28 to 355 of the family's 1533-position model. The record is from RNAcentral.
GACGAACGCUGGCGGCGUGCUUAACACAUGCAAGUCGAACGGUGAACCUGCUUCGGUGGGGGAUCAGUGGCGAACGGGUGAGUAACACGUGGGCAACCUGCCCUCAGCUCUGGGAUAACUCCAAGAAAUUGGGGCUAAUACCGGAUAUUUCCGCUGACCGCAUGGUCUGGUGGUGGAAAGAUUUAUCGGCUGGGGAUGGGCCCGCGGCCUAUCAGCUUGUUGGUGGGGUAGUGGCCUACCAAGGCGACGACGGGUAGCCGGCCUGAGAGGGUGACCGGCCACACUGGGACUGAGACACGGCCCAGACUCCUACGGGAGGCAGCAGU